UGCAAGUCGAGCGGACAGAAGGGAGCUUGCUCCCGGAUGUUAGCGGCGGACGGGUGAGUAACACGUGGGUAACCUGCCUGUAAGACUGGGAUAACUCCGGGAAACCGGAGCUAAUACCGGAUAGUUCCUUGAACCGCAUGGUUCAAGGAUGAAAGACGGUUUCGGCUGUCACUUACAGAUGGACCCGCGGCGCAUUAGCUAGUUGGUGAGGUAACGGCUCACCAAGGCGACGAUGCGUAGCCGACCUGAGAGGGUGAUCGGCCACACUGGGACUGAGACACGGCCCAGACUCCUACGGGAGGCAGCAGUAGGGAAUCUUCCGCAAUGGACGAAAGUCUGACGGAGCAACGCCGCGUGAGUGAUGAAGGUUUUCGGAUCGUAAAGCUCUGUUGUUAGGGAAGAACAAGUGCAAGAGUAACUGCUUGCACCUUGACGGUACCUAACCAGAAAGCCACGGCUAACUACGUGCCAGCAGCCGCGGUAAUACGUAGGUGGCAAGCGUUGUCCGGAAUUAUUGGGCGUAAAGGGCUCGCAGGCGGUUUCUUAAGUCUGAUGUGAAAGCCCCCGGCUCAACCGGGGAGGGUCAUUGGAAACUGGGAAACUUGAGUGCAGAAGAGGAGAGUGGAAUUCCACGUGUAGCGGUGAAAUGCGUAGAGAUGUGGAGGAACACCAGUGGCGAAGGCGACUCUCUGGUCUGUAACUGACGCUGAGGAGCGAAAGCGUGGGGAGCGAACAGGAUUAGAUACCCUGGUAGUCCACGCCGUAAACGAUGAGUGCUAAGUGUUAAGGGGGUUUCCGCCCCUUAGUGCUGCAGCUAACGCAUUAAGCACUCCGCCUGGGGAGUACGGUCGCAAGACUGAAACUCAAAGGAAUUGACGGGGGCCCGCACAAGCGGUGGAGCAUGUGGUUUAAUUCGAAGCAACGCGAAGAACCUUACCAGGUCUUGACAUCCUCUGACAACCCUAGAGAUAGGGCUUUCCCUUCGGGGACAGAGUGACAGGUGGUGCAUGGUUGUCGUCAGCUCGUGUCGUGAGAUGUUGGGGUUAAGUCCCGCAACGAGCGCAACCCUUGAUCUUAGUUGCCAGCAUUUAGUUGGGCACUCUAAGGUGACUGCCGGUGACAACCGGAGGAAGGGGGGGAUGACGUCAAAUCAUCAUGCCCCUUAUGACCUGGGCUACACACGUGCUACAAUGGACAGAACAAAGGGUUGCAGACCGCAGGUUAGCCAUCCCACAAAUCUGUUCUCAGUUCGGA
This 1254-nucleotide ribosomal RNA is filed under the name Bacillus sp. (in: firmicutes). RNAcentral's name for it is "bacterial SSU rRNA". It matches the Rfam family "Bacterial small subunit ribosomal RNA", at positions 56 to 1297 of the family's 1533-position model. Lineage: Bacteria; Bacillati; Bacillota; Bacilli; Caryophanales; Bacillaceae. The record is from RNAcentral.